UUGGAUCGCCCUUCCUACGGGAGGCAGCAGUGAGGAAUAUUGGUCAAUGGGCGAUAGCCUGAACCAGCCAAGUAGCGUGCAGGACGACGGCCCUAUGGGUUGUAAACUGCUUUUGUGCGGGAAUAAAGUGCGCGACGUGUCGUGCAUUGCAUGUACCGCGUGAAUAAGGACCGGCUAAUUCCGUGCCAGCAGCCGCGGUAAUAAGGG
Molecule: ribosomal RNA, 207 nt
Filed under: uncultured bacterium
Lineage: Bacteria
Description: partial 16S ribosomal RNA
Rfam family: Bacterial small subunit ribosomal RNA
Source: RNAcentral